AGAGUUUGAUCCUGGCUCAGAAUCAACGCUGGCGGCGUGCCUAACACAUGCAAGUCGAACGAGAAAGCGGGAGCAAUCCCGUGAGUAAAGUGGCGACCGGGUGAGUAACACGUGACUAACCUACCCUUGAGUGGGGAAUAACCUCGGGAAACCGGGGCUAAUACCGCAUAACAUCCCGGGCUGGAAUGCCUGGGAUCAAAGGAGCAAUUCGCUUAAGGAGGGGGUCGCGGCCGAUUAGCUAGUUGGCGGGGUAACGGCCCACCAAGGCGGUGAUCGGUAGCCGGCCUGAGAGGGCGCACGGCCACACUGGAACUGAAACACGGUCCAGACUCCUACGGGAGGCAGCAGUGGGGAAUUUUGCGCAAUGGGGGAAACCCUGACGCAGCAACGCCGCGUGGAGGAUGAAGUCCCUUGGGACGUAAACUCCUUUCGAUCGGGACGAUUAUGACGGUACCGGAAGAAGAAGCCCCGGCUAACUUCGUGCCAGCCGCCGCGGUAAUAC
Molecule: ribosomal RNA, 502 nt
Filed under: uncultured bacterium
Lineage: Bacteria
Description: bacterial SSU rRNA
Rfam family: Bacterial small subunit ribosomal RNA
Source: RNAcentral